Long non-coding RNA from Homo sapiens (human), 2356 nucleotides. Ensembl annotates it as peptidylprolyl isomerase E like (pseudogene). Its record names the gene PPIEL. Lineage: Eukaryota; Metazoa; Chordata; Mammalia; Primates; Hominidae. The record is from Ensembl.
GUCAUCCAGGCUGGAUUGCAGUGUCAUUGAUCAUAGCUCAAGCGGUCUUCCUGCCUCAGCCUCCCAAAGUGCUGUGAUUACAGGUGUGAGCCACUGCACCUGGCCUCUUCAUAUCUUACAACGAAAAGCACCAAGGAUUCUCUUUUGUUGAAUUUGAGUUGGCAGAGGAUGUUGCAGCAGCUGUCAACAACAUGUUUGGUCAGAUGAAGACUGGGUGGAGAAGUUUGCUGGGAAGAGGAUAAAGAGGAAGGUGGUUGAGACUUCCCAAAGCAGAAAGCCAGGAGGUAAGAAUGACAGUUCAUGCUUCCAUAGGAGAGGCUGCUGCUUUCCACAUAGGGAAUUUCUGAGGUGAGUGGUGUUGGGUGAAUUUAAAGGAGAAGUUUUGGCUUUCUUAUCUAGGUGAGAAAUAUCUUAUGUGGGCUCAGGUAUUUGUGAUUGCUGCUGAGCAAGGCGGAUAUCUGAGGUGAGAAAGGAUGGUGAGUACUCUGCAUCACCAGCAUCCGCUAUCCUCCUAGUCUUUGGCAGCAGGCUCACUGUCUUCCUGUUCUUGCCCUAAUUCCAAGGGGGCAGAAUCAUGUAGAGGUCCCUUCCCCUCAGUCAGUACACAGGCACAAGGCUCUCCCUGCCCUCUCCACUUGCUCCUGCUUCUCCAUCAGGCCAUCCUGACUGUUGCUUCCCAGGAUAAUUUAAGGGCUCCUCCUCCUCAGUCCACCCUUUGAGCAGUGAUAUUUCCCUGAAUUCCUUCCUUAGCCCUCAGCACCUCUCUCCACAUUAUCCUUAUGCCAUGUCAGCCCCUUCUAUCUCCUAAGGUUAUAACGAUCUUUCAUUGUCCGAAUGAUAUUCUGAUCUCUAUCCCUAGCCCUGACCUUUCACAUAUUUCUGUUUGGGUGUCUUAUAGGCACCAUAAAUAAAGCAUAUCCCAAAUGGGUUUCAUCACCUUUCUGGUCUUUUUUUAUGCCCAAUCUUAGUUCACUUUGCCAUCUUCAACAUAGUCACACCCAAACCAGAUUCCUUGGUGCCAGCUUAGAUCCCUCACUGUAUUUCAUACCUAAUGCAUUACCAUACCCUGCUAAUUUUAUCUUUUAAAUCUUGCGUUUCUCCUCUCCAGUUUUCUUCUGCCACUGUUGUCUUGGCUGAGGCCUUAUCCUCUCUCCUGUGAAUAAUUGGAGUAGCUUCCUAACUGGUCUCCCUGCCCCAGGCCUGUUUUCCUCCUAUCCUUAGCAGCCAGAGGGAGCUUUCUAAAGGGCAGAUCUGACUAUCUCACUCUCCUUAAGCAUUCUAGGGACUCCCUUGAUUUAUAGGAUUGAGUCCAGCCUCCAUCAAAAGGGACAGAAGACCUCUCUAUGUUCUGAUUCCUGCUUAUGUCUCCAUAUUUUAUCUCCAUUUUAUAUUCUAGGAAACAAGAGUUUGUAGAUACCUGUAAAUCUCUGUUUUGAUGUAAGUCAUUCCUCUGCCUGCAGUGUCCUUUUCCAAUUUAUUUUAUGUGGCUAAUGCCUGCUCAUUUCUCAUAGCGCAGCCCAUUUACUGCCUUCUCCAGGAAGCUUUUCUGAAUCCUCCAGUGAGUAAGGGAGAGCCCACUGCUAAAAAAGGCCUAGUCAAAUCCUCAGGUGUACAUGGACAUCAAGAUUGGGAACAAGCCGGCUGGCUGCAUCCAAACCCUCCUGCGUUCCGACGUCGUGCCCAUGACCACAGAGAAUUUUCUCUACAUGUGCACCCAUUUAAAGGACUCGGCUUCAAGGGAAGCAGCUUCCACCGCAUUAUCCCCCAGUUCAUUUGCCAGGGCAGUGAUUUCACAAACCACGGUGGCACCAGGGGUCUGCGCAGGCAUGGCACUAAGUGUCCCAUGGCACAUUUGGCCCUCAUGGAGGCCUCAAAAGGGCAGGACCAGCACCCUCUUCUACGGAGGAAGGAACGGGCACAGCAGGGUGAGCCACUGCGCCUGAUCAAGGCAUCACCGUUGAACCUCCUAAGAGGAAAACAUAAGGCUGUGCAAUACCAGGAACUGGGAUUCUAGGUUGCCCCAGACACCAAGGCAUCAAAAGCCAGGGGAUCCAGAGAAAACACAGACAGCCAAGAGAGAAACUGCGGGAAAAAGCCAAAAGGUUGAGAGCCACACCAUCUAGAAGCUUCCUGCCUGUGGUGCGGCACAGAAACAAGGAGAGUCAGCAAUUACCAGCCAGCCAAGGUCCUGGAAGCUGACGUAGAGCUCGUGCCGACGGCAGACCUGCCGGCCGUGGGAGCCGCGGACGUCAUCUGCAGGGACAGAAGGGGCAAGGUCUUUUCUGGGGUUCCUGCUGUGUGCAGCUACUAUGGGGUACCAGGGUGGGGGAUGCCCUGAUGAGCACAUUUGUCAAAU